This 3192-nucleotide unclassified non-coding RNA is filed under the name Hevea brasiliensis (rubber tree). The record is from RNAcentral. Lineage: Eukaryota; Viridiplantae; Streptophyta; Magnoliopsida; Malpighiales; Euphorbiaceae.
GGGCUUUCAGCACAAUUAGCGUUGACGAUGGGCUCGAUAGUCUCACUCACGAACCUGGAGCUCGAAGAAAAGUGAAAGAAAAAGAGCAAAUAGCCAUUUCUCAACUUGACAAACCAUGGAUGAAAAUGAAACAGCAAAUGCAAAAGUUGCUUCUCUGAGAUGGGGAAUCCCUCGUCAAGCCCUCCUUCGUCGCCCUCCUGCCCAUAUUUCAGGUUCUUUCUUCUAUACACCAAUCGAAUUCCUUAAAUCUAAUUGGCUGCCUAUUGCUGUUAAUGUAUCUCGCAGAUGAGAAAUCUUUAAAUGAUAUCAAGCGCAUUUCCAGGAAGGCCUGUUAUGGCUUCAACUUAAUUCCUAGCCGAUUACUAGUUGAUAAAAAUCCAAACUCUAGAGAAGCCUAUAUAUGCUACACGUUACCCACUAAUGGGUCCCCUAAACUUUUCCUUACGUGAGUUCAUUUUCUUUCAUUUGGUGUACUGGACCUUGUAUCUUGUUCUCUCAGGUAUUUCUUCGAACACGUUCUGAACUUUAGAUUGAAAUGUGAUUGCAUUCAAAUACAAUAGGACUGUUUUUUAUAUUUGAGUUUUGUUGUUGCUAUCUAUGGAAUUCUUUGCAGCCAAAAGAUGGACGGGCGCCCUAAUCUCAGUGAUUUUGAGAUAUCUAAUAGAUACAAUGUUGAUAACACUGGGCUUGUCUAGAACAGAGUAUUGAGGGAAGGAGAUAGUGGUGUGCUAUGCAUGUUUCAGGCUGGAACAAUUGGAGGGGAUUCUGACUUCUGACCACACUGAUAAUUACGAUUUUUAAAAUGAUCAAAUCAAACUGGACUGUUUUGAACAUAGAAAUCAAACUAAACAGAACCAAUUACCAAAUCAGAUUAAAUCAAAAUAUUAUUCUUUGAUCCAAUUUUUGAAAUGUUUUGAGACAAACAAAACUUUUUUUUUUAGUUCUGCAUAACCAGCUCAGGUUAGCUUAAAUAUUCACUUCCUUAUAUGUAAUAAAAAGAUUUAAAAAUCACAAAAAUAAAUUUUUAUUAUUACUAUUAUUUUAUACAAGUUUGAGUUACUGUUUUUAGUUUCGUUUCUUAUGAAGUGAAGUUUUAUUUCCUACAAUCCGUAUUGUACUUUUUAUUGAGUGGUAAACUAAACCAACUGCCAAAUUCAGACCAGAUUGGUGGAUUGAAUUUAAGGAUGCAUACCCCUGAGAGUGAAAGUUUUUGUCUGUGGCACCUGAAUUUUGAUGAAAUUUGAAAUAUUUCAUGCAUGGGGGCCUUCUUUUAUUUUAUUGCUUUGAUUAUAAGAUAUCUAUCUAUUUUAUUUGGGAAGUUCUACUUUAAGCUCCUGCUAUUGGAUUAACUUCUGCAAUGGGUGUGUUUUUACAAGCUAGUUAAAUACAAUAUCAUAAUGGCGGUUGGUGUGCAUCACCAUUGAAAGUUUCUUAAUAUGGUGUUAGAUAUAUGAACUGGAAGAUUCAGUUCAAAUCUUGUUAGCUGGAGAAAAUUCAAAUGGUUCAUCUACAUAAUCAAUUAGUGUUGCUUUAUCUUGUUUAUGCUUAGGAUUCUAAAAUGAUCUUGUUAUACAGGUCAUUGGCCAUCAGAAGAAGUCCUUGCUUAUUUUUGCUUAUCACAUGCAGACAUGUUCAGGUCAAAAAGAGUUAUUGAGCUUGGCUCAGGCUAUGGUUUAGCUGGAUUAGUUAUUGCUGCAACUACCGAGGCAUCAGAAGUUGUAAUCUCCGAUGGAAAUCCUCAAGUGGUCGAUUGUAUGCUUUUCAUUUGCACAUUCUAGCGGCCAAUGUGUAUGAGAACUUUAUGAUUAUUUAUUGAAUUUUAGUCUUCAUUUGUUUCAUGGAAAAUAACUUCUCUAUGAUUUUUUCGGCUCCAAAGAUGGUCGUGUGGUCAAUGGAUUAAUGAGUGUAUAUUCUGUGGUUCUCUUAUAAGUUUCUUCCCUUUAACGAGUUUGUCAAAAUUUAGAAAAGUGUUUGUCUUUUCAAGAGGAAGUCAUUUUCUCUUUAGCCAAGAAAACAUUUUCCAUUGGCCAAAUUUUCGAAGUGUCCCAAAUGUCAGAAAAUAUAUUAUAGGAAAAUAUUUUCUGUGAAACAAAAGGAGCCUCAGUAUUAAAGAAAGUAAACUUUAAGCUUUAACUCUCUAAUUGAGUAGGGAAUUUACCAGCAAAUUUUCUUCUCAAUUGAAGCAAAGAAAUUAACCACGCUUAAUACCAUUAAAGUAAGAAAUUUAUUUUUGAAAUGCUGUGUAUGGCUAUUAAUGACAUGAAACAUUAUUGCCCCAACCUUUAGACUAUUUCUGGAGACAGCCUUUUUGUUGUCAUUAAUGCAACUCAUAGUUUUCUGUUGCUCAUUCAAAUAGAGUGAUAAGCGUUAGAAUUAGUUGGUGAGACAGGUCAUGAGAAGUUUGGAUGGCAUAUCUGUUUCUCAAAGUGAGUACUGGCUUUCCAUGUAAGGCAUUGUCACUUGCUGAUGUCUGAUUGGUUUGGUUCAUUAGAGGAGAACCAUGAGGAAUGAUUUACAAAUUUAGUGCUUUAAUAAUCUUAAUGUGGCUUGAUUUCAAGCUGUAUCAAUGCAUAAUUUUAUUGCAAAAUAUAUAUGUAGUUUCUAGAGUUGAUUGUUUGAUUAUCAUUAACCCUUCAUGUCCUAUUGUUAUUCCUUGAAAAUUUGCAGUCAUUUUGCCAUCUCAAAUGAAAUGUUAAGUUGUUUGUACCUCAUGUAUUAUGCAUUCAGAAUUUCAAUUACUCAAGCUGUACUCUCAAGUUUUGGCCUAGGAUUGAGUUCUAGGCCUUCCUUGGACUUGAGAACGGAUAAGAUCUAAAAUGUGGAGUGUCUCCAAUCUGAUCUGAUUCUUGCUUGCUUGCGACCUGUUUUAUGCUGUAUGUUGUGGCUAACCAUCCUUUAUUUUGUUGAUAUCUUUCUUGUUUGCCGACUUUCUUCCAUCAGUAUGAUUUUUUAUUGUUUUAAAUUAAAAGAGAAAAAUUACUUUGACAAUAAUUAUAAUGAUUUUGAGUUAUAGUUUAGAUAUGUUUGUAUUUGAUGCAUCUCCUUGGAGAUGUAAUUUCUUGCUGCUGUGUCCUAAGGCACUUAUAUUCUUGAUUUAGUUCUAAGGUUGUGCUGGUCAGUUAAUUUCUCAUGCCAAGUGGAGCAUCACAGUAUUGCAAAGAUUUUUCUGGCUUUGGUGUACCACAGGGUCAC